Molecule: long non-coding RNA, 1585 nt
Organism: Branchiostoma floridae (Florida lancelet)
Lineage: Eukaryota; Metazoa; Chordata; Leptocardii; Amphioxiformes; Branchiostomatidae
Exons: 2
Source: RefSeq, a predicted model, not a curated record
GAGAACUCCACAUAGCCGAUUCUUAGGUACACAUUCAGAUGUCGUUGCCAGUGUGAAGUUACGCUAGAUGCAUUGCAUGGCUCGUAUGCUAGGAGUCGCCCUAACGUGCAACAAGUCUGUAAAACAGGAGAUAUGACGUCAAUUUUUGCCACUCCCUUGUCAGGAUUGGCUGUUAACUUAACGGUUCAUUAACUGGACAGAAUGUUAUUUGACGCACGUACACGUAUUAAAGGUGAAUGAGGGGAUUUCUACCAGGUUCGGUGACGUGAUAAGAUCAGAGUUUCACUUCCGCUCUUCUGACCCGCCAUUUUGCACAGGAGGGCCGAGGUACACCACACCGAAGAGGAAGGGAGCGAAUACAAACAGCACAAGAAGGAAAGACCGAUAGCUCACAAUGGAUACCAUGCAUAUGCUCACCAAUUUAUGGAGCUAUAUCUCAGAAGCUGUACUGAUUUUCAUUGUUACAGCGUUAACAAUAAUGUUCACCGUCAAAAGCAUUGUCGGGGCGACUGGCAAUCUUAGUGUCCGUCAAAUUAUAGUUAUUGCUAUCAUUUUCGGCGCCGUAGGCUUGAAACAUCAUUUCCAUGAGUCAAAUACAACAGCUCUUGAAAUGCAACGCCUGAAGCUGGAGGGCCAGAAACUGGAAGUUGAGAGAGAACAACUGUAUCUUAAACGUGAUCUUGAAAGUCAGCGUCUAAAUGUGGCAAGCAUGGAGCUAGAAGUUGAAAAGGAGAAACUGGCUCUGGAACGUGAUCGCGAAAGUCACCAACUGAAAAUGGCAAGCUUAGAUGCGGACGUCAAAAAAGAACAACUGUCUCUUGAACGAGAGCAGGUUCAAGCUUACCGGGAUAUAGCCACGUCUACAGACGUAAUUGAAAUCACAGAGGAUGAGCAACAUGGCUGGAUUUAUAGCGAUUCUAAACGCAUCCAGAAACAGUCGGUGAAACGUUUUUCAGAAUCUGAGAUGGAACGUCUUGGGCUCCAAAUGAACAUAAAAUGGUCACCAAAAAGGAAUACUGGAACUAGAGCAAAAUGGCAACCGGAUCUGUGAUGCAACCUGAUCUGUGAUGAGGACAGGGCCAAAGAAAAAGAAAGAGAAAAACGAACUGCAUCAGACUGAUAACGAAACCAGCAAUCGUAUGUCCAGAAUCAAAUAGUUAUUUUGUUUUGAUAAACGCAAUUGUCAAUAAAGUUGUUUCGCACUUGAUGUCCUGGCAAGGGUUGUCUGCUUUAUUGCUACACGUGACGACAACAAGACGUAGUGUGUAGGGAACUUUUACAGCAUGAUCGCAUCAUCUAUUUGCGAUCUCAUCUAUAUAGUGGGUUUAUAUCAUCAUCGGGUUUAUAUAUAUAAUUUUUUUUAGAUAAAGCAUAGCAAAAAAACUUCGGGGUAAGUGGGGAACUUUGUGCUUAUGAUUUCGCUUGCUUUUUUUGACGUAUGCGGAUACUUAUGCUUAAUUUUGAUAUUUGAAUGUAUGAUUUCGCUUGAUUUGGUUAUUUUCUGCUGUAAAUGAUUUAUGGGAGGCUGUUUUCUGUUCAGCUUUUUUUUUGUUUUUGUAUAUUAUUCUUCAUGGCAAUAAAAAAA